GGUGGCUCAGUGGUAGAGUGCUUGCCUUGCAUGCAUGAGGCCCUGGGUUCAAUAACUCAGUACCA
RNAcentral lists this transfer RNA (65 nucleotides) under Dipodomys ordii (Ord's kangaroo rat). It matches the Rfam family "tRNA". Rfam says of the family: Transfer RNA (tRNA) molecules are approximately 80 nucleotides in length. Their secondary structure includes four short double-helical elements and three loops (D, anti-codon, and T loops). Lineage: Eukaryota; Metazoa; Chordata; Mammalia; Rodentia; Heteromyidae. The record is from Rfam by way of RNAcentral.